Long non-coding RNA from Rosa rugosa (rugosa rose), 1136 nucleotides. RefSeq lists it as uncharacterized. The record is from RefSeq and is a predicted model, not a curated record. NCBI's taxonomy places the organism in Eukaryota, Viridiplantae, Streptophyta, Magnoliopsida, Rosales, Rosaceae. The transcript has 5 exons.
UUAUCUCACCCUCUCACGCAUUAGCCGCCCACUCUCCAUGAAAUCUCUCGUCGUUUAUUUUUCGCUCAACCCUCUCCCCAGAUUUCUGUCUCUCUGAAAAUGAGUUGUGGUUUGACGAAUCUACUCACCUGGAUCUAUUUAUGAUUUCUGUUCUGCUGCUCUUCCAAUUUGAUUUCGACAUUCACUUUGGGGUUGUCUAUAUAUGGAUCUCCAGUGAAAUGGAUAUAUCAGAGUCUGGGGAUAAAAACCCAUUGAUGCUUUUGUCUACUUGAAGUGUAUUUGGUAAUUGGUGCUAUUUUAUUCGGUAAGAUUUAUCAAAUUAUGCAAUCUGAAUUACUCGGUGUUCGAAUUCACUUAUGACCUUUCGUUUUCAAUAAAAUUGUCACUGCACCUAAGGUUUUAGAAUACUCUAAUUAUCUUAAUGGUAUUUGAAAGGGGGUGUUAGAUUUUCUAUGCAGUUAAAUCUUUAGGUUUUUGUUUUUAUUGACAUUGUCUCUGAUAAUUUGGGGGUUUUAUUUGUGUGUUAUAUGAGUUCUUUUUGAAUUACAUGAAGCUGAAAAAGCCAUGAACUCUAGACAGGGGGAAGGUGGCCUCCAUGGGCGGUGAUGACUAAGAGAGAUUGAAGCAUUCGGAGAAUGCUGAUAGUCUGUUAAUACUCAAUUAAAUAAUUAAGGUGACACCACUUCAUUGUCAUCUGAGCUUCACAAAUAGUGUGGGUGGAGACCCUCGACUAGACUCAUAAGCCCAAGAGCAAAGUACAGAUUAAAUUUGGAGAUUUUACUACUACAAGAGGUGUCAAUAAAAAGUGAACAUCAUUACCAGAUGGUCUCUGUGUGACACCAUUGGCCUGCCCAGGGAAAUAGAAAAGAGAAAUACGAAUGGGAUCAAGAAGACAAGAAGCACCUGGAUAUCUUCCACUGGAUUGACAUCUAAGUAUAGAAGACUUUGCUGAAUAGCUUGAAGGCAGUUGGUUUCAAGAUUAGUAGGAAUAGGAAUACAAAGGUGCUCAAACAUGUAGCUUAUUUUAGUUUGAAAACGACCUCAUGACUAUUUUCAUGAUACUGUUUCCUAUUGACAUUCAAUUGAAAAUCAUUGUAUUUGUUAAUUUGUUAUUAAUAUAAAUUUGUUUUUUAUCA